UCAGGAUGAACGCUGGCGGCGUGCCUAAUACAUGUAAGUCGAGCGAGAAUCAGUGAUGUAGAGAUCGUCAAAGCGGAUCUGAGGAAAGCGGCGGACGGGUGAGUAACGCGUAGGCAACCUGCCCUUAGCAGAGGGAUAGCCAUUGGAAACGAUGAUUAAAACCUCAUAAUGCUGUUUUUACACAUGUAGAGACAGCCAAAGAUUUAUCGGCUAAGGAUGGGCCUGCGUCUGAUUAACUAGUUGGUGAGGUAACGGCCCACCAAGGUGACGAUCAGUAGCCGACCUGAGAGGGUGAUCGGCCACAUUGGAACUGAGACACGGUCCAAACUUCUACGGAAGGCAGCAGUAAGGAAUCUUGCACAAUGGGGGAAACCCUGAUGCCAGCAACGCCGCGUGAACGAUGAAGGCCUUAGGGUUGUAAAGUUCUGAUCUGUGGGAAGAAGAAGUGACGGUACCACAGGAGAAAGCCCCGGCUAAAUACGUGCCAGCCGCUGC
RNAcentral lists this ribosomal RNA (495 nucleotides) under uncultured bacterium. RNAcentral describes it as "bacterial SSU rRNA". It matches the Rfam family "Bacterial small subunit ribosomal RNA", at positions 24 to 518 of the family's 1533-position model. The record is from RNAcentral.